RNAcentral lists this ribosomal RNA (330 nucleotides) under uncultured bacterium. RNAcentral describes it as "bacterial SSU rRNA". It matches the Rfam family "Bacterial small subunit ribosomal RNA", at positions 8 to 334 of the family's 1533-position model. The record is from RNAcentral.
AGGGUUUGAUCCUGGCUCAGGAUGAACGCUAGCGACAGGCUUAACACAUGCAAGUCGAGGGGCAGCACAGGUAGCAAUACCGGGUGGCGACCGGCGCACGGGUGAGUAACGCGUAUGCAACUUACCUAUCAGAGGGGGAUAACCCGGCGAAAGUCGGACUAAUACCGCAUGAAGCAGGGGCCCCGCAUGGGGAUAUUUGCUAAAGAUUCAUCGCUGAUAGAUAGGCAUGCGUUCCAUUAGGCAGUUGGUGGGGUAACGGCCCACCAAGCCGACGAUCAGUAGCCGACCUGAGAGGGUGACCGGCCACAUUGGGACUGAGACACGGCCCAA